UCAGAGACAGAAACAAGAUGUGAUUGGAGU
RNAcentral lists this non-coding RNA (30 nucleotides) under Mus musculus (house mouse). The record is from RNAcentral. Lineage: Eukaryota; Metazoa; Chordata; Mammalia; Rodentia; Muridae.